This 253-nucleotide ribosomal RNA is filed under the name uncultured bacterium. Its description in RNAcentral is "partial 16S ribosomal RNA". It matches the Rfam family "Bacterial small subunit ribosomal RNA", at positions 524 to 776 of the family's 1533-position model. The record is from RNAcentral.
UACGGGGGGGGUAAGCGUUGUUCGGAAUUACUGGGCGUAAAGGGCUCGUAGGCGGCCAACUAAGUCAGACGUGAAAUCCCUCAGCUUAACUGGGGAACUGCGUCUGAUACUGGAUGGCUUGGAUUCGGGAGAGGAAUGCGGAAUUCCAGGUGUAGCGGUGAAAUGCGUAGAUAUCUGGAGGAACACCGGUGGCGAAGGCGGCAUUCUGGACCGACACUGACGCUCAUGCACGAAAGCGUGGGGAGCAAACAGG